UUCAGACUCCUGUAAAAAAAUAGUGGUAUUACGCCUGAGGCAAAAUAUUUCGUUCAAAAGCAGUUGUUUCCCCUUCAAUAUGUUUCCGGUUUCGGAUUUUAUCAGGGAAGCGUGUGAAGUUUACUUUUGUUUAUCUACCUUUUGUUCAACGAUGGAGGGAUCUGAGACUUGUAAUACUGUUUAGUGAUUUGAUAAUAUUCCUUGUUCCUUUGAUGGUUCAUUCCACUACAGCUGGUUCAUAUACCCUACAACAGCAAGGAAAUUGGUCUGUUUACUUUAAGAUCUCAAGAAAAUGUACCAUAUUUUGGAUGUGCUUUGAGGAAUCAGGAAGGCAAGUGUUUCCUCUUGUUUAUGAAAGCAACUCAGUUGGUUAAGGGGCAGACAACUUGUGAGCAUGGUACAUCACUACCUGUAUUGGUAUUCCAUUUUGACAAUGCUGCUAGCUAGAAUAGAAAUAACAUCUUGCUGUGGUAUGGUCUGUGGAGAGUUUUACUAGGAUAUCACAGAUCGAUUGAAUAUUCAACAAUGAUCACAGACCAUGCAAAGUUUGAAUCUGACUUGCACUUUUAAAUUUAGAAGAAUCUGUGGAGGAGGGUGAAUGCUGAGACCUUUAAUAAUACAUGAUAUUGCUGACACAGUGUGUCAGUUAUCAAAGAAAUGUCAUAACAACACAGUUGGUCAACAAAGAUUUAAAUCCUGUCACAUUCUACCAGUGGAGAAAUAUCUUAUCACAAUAUUUUAAACUUUUGAAGAAGAUAACCAAGUAUUACCACUUUAUCAUGUCUGCAGAAACACCUGGAUUGUAAGUCUUAAAAGUGACAGUUCAGUUAACUUACUAAAAUUUACUCCCCCUUGCCAAACGAAUAUUA
This is a long non-coding RNA of Mercenaria mercenaria, 869 nucleotides long. RefSeq lists it as uncharacterized. Lineage: Eukaryota; Metazoa; Mollusca; Bivalvia; Venerida; Veneridae. The record is from RefSeq and is a predicted model, not a curated record. The transcript is spliced from 4 exons.